RNAcentral lists this ribosomal RNA (378 nucleotides) under uncultured Bacteroidales bacterium. Its description in RNAcentral is "bacterial SSU rRNA". It matches the Rfam family "Bacterial small subunit ribosomal RNA", at positions 22 to 399 of the family's 1533-position model. The record is from RNAcentral. Lineage: Bacteria; Pseudomonadati; Bacteroidota; Bacteroidia; Bacteroidales.
GCUCAGGAUGAACGCUAGCUACAGGCUUAACACAUGCAAGUCGAGGGGUAGCAGGGUAGCAAUACCGCUGACGACCGGCGCACGGGUGAGUAACACGUAUCCAACCUUCCCAUAACUCAGGGAUAGCCUUUCGAAAGAAAGAUUAAUACCUGAUAGUACUUAAGAAAGGCAUCUUUUUUAAGUUAAAGAUUUAUUGGUUAUGGAUGGGGAUGCGUUCCAUUAGAUAGUUGGUGAGGUAACGGCUCACCAAGUCUUCGAUGGAUAGGGGUUCUGAGAGGAAGGUCCCCCACAUUGGUACUGAGACACGGACCAAACUCCUACGGGAGGCAGCAGUGAGGAAUAUUGGUCAAUGGGCGAGAGCCUGAACCAGCCAAGUAG